GAAAUGCGAUAAGUAGUGUGAAUUGCAGAAUUCAGUGAAUCAUCGAAUCGUUGAACGCACAUUGCGCCCCUUGGUAUUCCAUGGGGCAUGCCUGUUCGUGCGUCAUUUGUACCCUCAAGCUUUGCUUGGUGUUGGGCGUCUUGUCCUCUUCUGGAGGACUCGCCUCAAAACAAUUGGCAGCCGGCAUAUUGCUAUCGGAGCGCAGCACAAGUCGCACUUUGUUCCACGAAUGUUGGCAUUCAUCAAGACCAUUUUUUUCACUCUUGACCUCUUAUCAGGUAGGGAUACCCGCUGAACUUAA
RNAcentral lists this unclassified non-coding RNA (301 nucleotides) under uncultured Pleosporales. RNAcentral describes it as "sequence contains ITS1". The stretch from base 1 to 105 matches the Rfam family "5.8S ribosomal RNA", at positions 50 to 154 of the family's 154-position model. The record is from RNAcentral. Lineage: Eukaryota; Fungi; Ascomycota; Dothideomycetes; Pleosporales.